RNAcentral lists this ribosomal RNA (994 nucleotides) under uncultured archaeon. Its description in RNAcentral is "bacterial SSU rRNA". It matches the Rfam family "Archaeal small subunit ribosomal RNA", at positions 342 to 1336 of the family's 1478-position model. The record is from RNAcentral.
AGAAAACUUUGCAAUGUGCGAAAGCACGACAAGGUUAAUCCGAGUGGUUUCUGCUAAAGAAACCUUUUGUUAGUCCUAGAAACACUAGUGAAUAAGGGGUGGGCAAGUUCUGGUGUCAGCCGCCGCGGUAAAACCAGCACCUCAAGUGGUCAGGAUGAUUAUUGGGCCUAAAGCAUCCGUAGCUCGUUUUGUAAGUUUUCGGUUAAAUCCAUGCGCUUAACGUAUGGGCUGCCGGGAAUACUGCAUAACUAGGAAGUGGGAGAGGUAGACGGUACUCGGUAGGAAGGGGUAAAAUCCUUUGAUCUAUUGAUGACCACCUGUGGCGAAGGCGGUCUACCAGAACACGUUCGACGGUGAGGGAUGAAAGCUGGGGGAGCAAACCGGAUUAGAUACCCGGGUAGUCCCAGCUGUAAACUAUGCAAACUCAGUGAUGCAUUGGCUUGUGGCCAAUGCAGUGCUGCAGGGAAGCCGUUAAGUUUGCCGCCUGGGAAGUACGUACGCAAGUAUGAAACUUAAAGGAAUUGGCGGGGGAGCACCACAAGGGGUGAAGCCUGCGGUUCAAUUGGAGUCAACGCCAGAAAUCUUACCCGGAGAGACAGCAGAAUGAAGGUCAAGCUGAAGACUUUACCAGACAAGCUGAGAGGUGGUGCAUGGCCGUCGCCAGCUCGUGCCGUGAGAUGUCCUGUUAAGUCAGGUAACGAGCGAGAUCCCUGCCUCUAGUUGCCACCAUUACUCUCAGGAGUAGUGGGGCGAAUUAGCGGGACCGCCGCAGUUAAUGCGGAGGAAGGAAGGGGCCACGGCAGGUCAGUAUGCCCCGAAACUCUGGGGCCACACGCGGGCUGCAAUGGUAGUGACAAUUGGUUCCGAAUCCGAAAGGAGGAGGUAAUCCCUAAACGCUACCACAGUUAUGACUGAGGGCUGCAACUCGCCCUCACGAAUAUGGAAUCCCUAGUAACUGCGUGUCAUUAUCGCGCGGUGAAUACGUCCCUGCUCC